This 301-nucleotide ribosomal RNA is filed under the name uncultured bacterium. RNAcentral's name for it is "partial 16S ribosomal RNA". It matches the Rfam family "Bacterial small subunit ribosomal RNA", at positions 509 to 807 of the family's 1533-position model. The record is from RNAcentral.
CAGUCGCCGCGGUAAUACCGAGGGUGCAAGCGUUAAUCGGAAUUACUGGGCGUAAAGCGCGCGUAGGUGGUUUGUUAAGUUGGAUGUGAAAGCCCCGGGCUCAACCUGGGAACUGCAUCCAAAACUGGCAAGCUAGAGUACGGUAGAGGGUGGUGGAAUUUCCUGUGUAGCGGUGAAAUGCGUAGAUAUAGGAAGGAACACCAGUGGCGAAGGCGACCACCUGGACUGAUACUGACACUGAGGUGCGAAAGCGUGGGGAGCAAACAGGAUUAGAUACCCCCGUAGUCCCUGUCUCUUAUAC